This 278-nucleotide long non-coding RNA is filed under the name Trifolium pratense (red clover). RNAcentral describes it as "long non-coding RNA (TPRA_LNC012439)". The record is from RNAcentral. Lineage: Eukaryota; Viridiplantae; Streptophyta; Magnoliopsida; Fabales; Fabaceae.
CCUUCUCUAUAAAUGCGAGUCACAAUGUCAUUCAUCUGCUUGAAGAGAGACAUGACAUUUCUCCAUCUGUUCAUUAAAUUCCAAGUAACCACAAUGUUGGACUUGUGAAAGGCGAGCACUACAAGAGCUGUGUCCGAUUCAAUCCAUAGAUUAUGCCACUUCAUUUUGUGCGCAACCUCAAUUGUAGUCAUGACUGCACAUAGUUCAGCUUGAAAGGAAGUUGCAAUUCCUAGAGGUUCAGCAAAACAGUAUAGCAUUUCUGCAACAUGGUUUCUAAA